CCUACGGGGGGCUGCAGUGAGGAAUAUUGGUCAAUGGGCGCGAGCCUGAACCAGCCAAGUCGCGUGAGGGAAGACGGUCCUAUGGAUUGUAAACCUCUUUUGUCGGGGAGCAAAAGACGCCACGUGUGGCGUUCCGAGAGUACCCGAAGAAAAAGCAUCGGCUAACUCCGUGCCAGCAGCCGCGGUAAUACGGAGGAUGCGAGCGUUAUCCGGAUUUAUUGGGUUUAAAGGGUGCGCAGGCGGGAGAUAAAGGCAGCGGUAAAAUGGCGGGGCUCAACCCCGGCCGGGCGUUGAAACUGGGUUUCUAGAGUUGGAGAGAAGGAUGCGGAAUUCGUGGGUGAGCGGUGAAAUGCAUAGAU
Molecule: ribosomal RNA, 359 nt
Filed under: uncultured bacterium
Lineage: Bacteria
Description: partial 16S ribosomal RNA
Rfam family: Bacterial small subunit ribosomal RNA
Source: RNAcentral